Molecule: long non-coding RNA, 14284 nt
Filed under: Marmota monax (woodchuck)
Lineage: Eukaryota; Metazoa; Chordata; Mammalia; Rodentia; Sciuridae
Source: RNAcentral
GUUGUUUUGCCUUUGAAAUUUCUCUCUCUCUCUCUCUCUCUCUCUCUCUCUCUCUCUCUCUCUCUCUCUCACACACACACACACACUCACCAUCCCCUUAUGAAAUUCGACCCUGUUUAUCAGGGUCUGGCGCGCGCCUUUUGCUCUUUAACGUUUCACUUAUUUCAGGCUUGAUGGUGGUGGGGAACAGGGAGAAAAACACAAUCCCCCAAACCUCACUAGCUCCCCUCAAGGGUUAAAUUUUAAACCGCUUUUUCUCGGACAAGCCCGGAAACCCGGGGUGUAGGGGGAUUGCUCACAAUUGCAAAUGCUAAUAAGUAGUUCAAUUUUUUAGAUCGAUUCUUUAAAGCUGGAGAGAGAGAGAGAGAGAGAGAGAGAGAGAGAGAGAGAGAGAGAGAGAGAGAGAAGCAAGAGAGUAAAGGGAAGAAACCGACAAUUCUUUUCUAAGAUUUUAAAGCGAUAGGCAAGUUGGAGGAGCCGAGAUUUAUUUGGGGGUAAGCAAGGUUGUGGGAAGCCGACCCAUAUUUGAAAGUCCAGCCCACCUGCUUGGUAGUUGGGACUGUUGAUUCCAGCUAUUAAUGAAAUGCACUUGGUGUUAAUCGAAUUUUUUUUAACUUUAUGGGAGGGACACACACACACACACACACACACACACACACUCACUCACAAAUUAUGAAAAGCCUGCAAAAGAUCGAAGAGUGAAAACUAUUGUUGGACCGAGUUGGUUUUUACCUCAACAGCGCCACCUUUCGGCAAAGGUCAGUUGAAAUUGAUCCGUGUCCAGUUUUGUUGAAGUGCAAAGAAGCUGUUUUCCCAAAGUGGGAGGAGGAAAGAGGCCCAGAAAGUUAGAUGGACCUUCGUGGUAGAGCUCAACCUUUUAAGAAAUGGGACGAAGAAAGUGCUAGCAAAUCCCGGAAUCAUAUUUUUCCUACUGUCUUGUCCCCCUUCACUGUUAAAAAAAAGAGGCGAGGGCAACUGCUGCCCUGCGGGUGGGAUUCUGGCUGAGAGACCUUUGCAAAUCAGAUCCCAGGUAACUGGGCCCCAAACUCUCUAAAAGUGGCAGGAUGGAUUUUCCAUGGGCUUUAUGGCAAUAUCAAUAGAAUUAAAGUUACUUGUAAUUCAGUGAUAAAUGGGAUGUCUCUAGUAAGUAAGAUUAAGUACAGUGCUUUAAAGUUGUUUAUCUGAAAAGUAAUUCUCAGAAAACCUGACUUCUGACACUUGGUCAUAUAUUAAGCCAGCGUCUUGAACAUUGCACUUCAGAAUAGUCUUACCCACCAGGUCGCAUACUUCACUAUUUAUAAUGAGACUUAGUGUCACUCCCCUGCUUCAUACACCAGAUUAACCCUGUGUUAAUUUCUCUGAUCUUGGCAGCCUUCGGUUCCAGCAAAUUCAGGAAUCCCUACUGGGAGACCUCCCAGAAGAUUUGUAGGGACAUCCUCAUCCUAAAAGGGCAGCACUGUUGGUAUUUUCCUUACAAGCCUGCUACAGAGGAGUUGUUUAUAAGGGUAGUUUGGGUUUGAGGGAAUGCUUUGUUAGGGUGGAAUGAACUGGGUUUAGUCCCAGUAUGGGAAGAAAGAGUGAAGAUUCUAUCAAUAUUUAUGUCAUCUAAGAUAAUUCCCUUGCUUUCCUCCUCUGACAGUAUUUUACCUACUAAUGAAGUUAAAGGAUUUCAGUUUAUGUAUUCAGAGGAAAAUCCACUGCUUAAAUUUCACAAACAUUAUGGUGUUCAGCAUUGUUCAUGAUGUCCAAAGUUUGUGUGUGUGUGUGUGUGUGUGUGUUAAAUGUAGAUUUAUGUGUCCUUGGGAAGAAUUAAUUAUUUUUUGUUUAUGAUAAUUUUUAAAACUCCUUCUGCAUCAUGUUUUUGUUAAAAGCUAUAAAGUAUGAUCCCUGCCUCUCAAAAUAAAAGUAUUUUUGACCAGGAACCCUGAAGCUGCCACAUUUAUAAAUAAACAUUUUAUAAACAGAAUUCACUAAUGACUAAGACCAUGCCAUAGAGUUUCGUGGCCACAUACCUAAUUGUUGCAAUUAUAUAUCAUUUCUAGAAAUUAAAUGCCCAUGUUUGGGCAGCUAAAUGUAUUAUUAUCUGCACAUUUUUUAUGGUUUAUUUCUGUUCACCACUGUUGAGCCGUGGUAUUUUUCUCCCUUUUAUAGUCUCCCAUUUUCUUUUGAAAAAAGAGGAUGAGAAUUAUGUUUUAGAUGUGUAUCAAGAGUGCUCUCAGGCUUGUAACUUAAUUCUCAUUUUUGUCCUUUUUCCUUUAUUAUUUAGUGAUUCACAGGGGUGUCUAAACAUUUACAGUUCUCUGUUAGCAGCAUUUCUUUUAUAACAAUUGAGCAAUCUCAUUUUAAUUAGUACUAUUCAGGUUUCUGAUUCUCUACAAUUACAUCAGGCCACGUUUCUUUCGACUUCUUUUCUAACAUUGUUUGUUUCACUUCCAUCCAAGCCAAUCUAAUCCAAAUACAAUAUGAACUGUGUUUUCUUACUGCUUAAUAUCCCCUCGCUUUAUAUGCUAUAGCAAUCUCUGUAGAACAAUAUAGAGUAAUUUAGAAACCAUGAGUUUGUCAUUAUUGACCAAUUCAAACCAGUAGCAUUAAAGUUUCUGAAAGCAAUGAGUAUUUAUAGAAAAUUCUGAGGGGGAGGAGGGCAUGGGUCGAAUCACGUAGAAGAUUUCGAAACAGUAGCCUCAAAAACUCAUUUGUAGUUUCAUGUCACUACAUACAUAACAACUUCAUGCAAAAGAGGGAGAAAAGCCCUUCAUGUCUACAUUACAAAGAUUAAAAGUUAACAGGAAGGUAUUUUUCCUGAUUGUGAGUUAUAGCAACUCAAAUAUAUCAUGUUGCCUCAGACGUACAGAAUCUGAAAAGAAACAGGAUGCAUUCAGAAUCGCGUCUGAACUCUUUGUUUAUCUGGGAGCUGGUUUUAUGUACAGAACUAAGCAGUGUCCACUAAAUUUUACUAUGAAACCAACUAAAUGGAUUUGAGAAAGUGUUCCUGAGAGUAGUUGCAGGAUAAGGCAGGAGUACAUUGUGCUUAGGUCUAGUGUUAGAUAAAUCCUUUUAACAGUCUUCAGUUAGCAGGGUAAGUAAAUCACAAAUCACUGUUAGCAGAUUCAUGGAAGAAAAUUAAUAGAAUCAGACGAGAUAAUCUGAUAAGGGUAAAAUUGCCGAGGGAAGUCUCUAUUGGCGAAUGUGAAACAACAGUGUGAUUACCAGGAGUCGUUAUGAAUAGGUGAAUUAUGUGCUAAAUAAUCAUCAGAGUAAUUCAGCAUUUAUUAAUUCUUUUCUCUUUAAGCAAUUCACAGUUGUAAGUUAAAGCCUCUCUCUCUCUUUGAAGACAAAUCUUUUAUAAUUUUUAUUAGAGGUAAUUUAUUAUUUGCAUUACCUGUAUUUACUUCAUAAUUGAACAUUUUGCAUUCAAAUUUAUGUAAUGCAUUAUGCUUGAGAAUAUAUUUCUGCCUGAUUAGCAUAAAUAGUCACUUACCUCAUGAAUUACUAACAAAGUUUAUCUUAAAAUAUAGGUUUUUUUAUUAAGUGGAACACAAACAUAUGUACAAUAAAUUCUGAUUUUUCCAGUGCCGUUAGAGAACAACUCAUGUUCGGUUACAGAGAAGCAAGGGGUGGGAUAGUGGGGAGAAAGAAAAAUAGUCAGACGAGACUUAUAGUUCCUUCCCAAGGGUGUUGCUCAGGUGGGGACCGUGGAGAGGGGUAGGGAGGAAGGACAGAAGGGGCAGCUCGGCUCUUCAGACACAGGAUUAUUUAUUGGAUGAUCUUGACUCUAAAUGAGGAGUCCAAAAGACAAACAAAAGACAAUUGGUGAUCUCUACUCUGUGGAGGGCCAGGGUAGACAGUCAAUAGGAUUGAUGGUGUUUGGGGAUAUUUUAUUAUUUUUAUUUUUAUUUUUUUGGUUAUUCUCAGGGUUCUUCCUUAAAACACGAUUCACACAAUUUCAUGAAAUACUUGUUUUGCACAAGAGACGCGAACAAUCCAGAUGUUUUCUGGGAAGGUGUGCCGGUUUUGUCAGCUCUCUUUCCUUGCUUCACCCACAGACACCCAGCAGGCACUGGGAGAUAGUAAGUGUCUGCUGAAUAAAUAUCUGUGGGGACACAGGGACAUUGGAGCCAAAGGACUUUUUCUGGUUUUAAGCAAGGGAUAGAGAUGAAAAAUGAUGGGCCCUAUUUCCCCACUCUGGCCACUCCAACCCUGCAUUUCCAUGCUCGGCUCUCUUUCCCUUUCAGUUUUUCAGGGGAAGGCGCACCCUUAGGUUUUUGUUCCUUCAAUUAGGGGCUGCUUAUGAUUCCCUCUUCCCUUGUCACCCCUUUGGAUCCUAUUCACAGCUUACACCAGUGAGGGAAUCUGUCACCAAAGCAUUCAGCGCUUCGAAGAAUUUUAUUGUGUACUCAGAGUUGAUUAAAAAAAAAAAAGUAGAGAUCUAAAAAAAGUGGGGGGGACCUGAUAGCCGAACAAUCUUUCUGUGUGUUGUGUCUUCACGCAUGAUAACUGGAGGAUCGCUCCGAAGUGGUGCUUGCUCUGUGAGUUUGCUUGCCUGCCUUCCUGCUCCUGGUGAUGUGGCGAUUCGAACCUCCUGUUCUAGAAGCUUUUAGCAGCUGUCCCACUUGGGAAAGAAGUUAUAGAAAAUACAGGGCAAACUUAAAUUCUCCCGUGAUGACAGGGGAGGUCUAUGGAUGCAGGUGGUUUCUGAAUCUGUCUGUUUCUGAAUUAACUUGUCUGGGGCCUGAGACCAGAGGUCCCUUAUAGCCCAGUCUUAUGUCUUAGUUCUUGGUCGCACAUGAGCGUGGCUGAGCUUUCUCCCGUGUUGUUCUUUGUCAUGAAAAUCUUGCACAGGCCCAGCCACAGCCUCAGAACAUCGGCCUUCCCAACCGUGUUCCUGAUCUAACCAAGAAUGAAAAUUUGACUAACAGCUCUGCCUACCCAAAAUAAAAAUUCAAGUCACACUUAUAGACCUUCUGAUAGUAUUGUUAUUUAGGAAUUUUAUAAUAGUGAGACAUGUUCUUUGUUGAAUAUAAAUAUCAGGACAAGAUAGCAAAAGGAGGCCAUCAAACCAAAGAACAGCUGUUCCUCAUCUCUACCCAGCACCUGUCCUUGGUCUCAGGAGUGACCAUCUGAAACUGAUGGGGUGCACACGUUUGCUGUUUUAUAACAGAAUGGAGUCUAAGCAUGUGCAUGGUUCGGAACGCAUCUGCCUGGAUCUCAGGAAAAAGCGUUUGGAGUGCUUAUCUGGUUUUUGGUGGAUUUCAUCUAAUGGAAUCUCAUGGUGUAUGUGUGUGUGUGUGUGUAGGGGGUGGAUAUUUAGAGGCCUGACUGUAGCACUCUCCUUUCAACCAAUGUACAAGUUUGAAUCUGUUUUGCCAGCCCUUGGUAGGUGAGUUGGCAGCAUGCAGGGCUGACUUCACCAGUGGCACAGCAGAGACAGUGGCCCAUGGGACUGCUGUGGGCACCCAGAGACAUUUUGAUUACUUUUAAAACCAGAAAAAAAGAAAAUAUAAUGUAGCAUGGAUUACAUUCAUCAUACCAAUGCAGUCAUAAAACAUAAUUAUAUAUACAUAUAUAUACCUAUGUAUAUAUGUAUAUAUAUGUACAAGGGGCCCAUGGAAGCCAAAGUCCAGAACACACAGAAGUACUUGCCUGAUUCUAACAGCAUUUUCUUGGUCACCUCCAGUGACAGCUCACUACCUGCCAGUUUUACCUGUACUCUCCAUUUGUUUAUUUGUUUUAGCAUGCGGUCUUACCCCUUCGUGUAGAUGUUAGUCCUAUUUUAUAUGCUCAAGAGGCCACACACUCAUGGGAACCGAAUGGGCCACAGGGUCUUUGGGAAGUUGAAAAGAGCCAGUAGGAUGCCCUUUCCCUCCCUUCUGUUUCUCCUGCUAAACAGAGUCAGUGACUUUGGCAUGUCCAGCCAGGUCUGCUUUCUUUCCAGCACCCUGCCUCCUGGCCACUAGUUCCCAGAGAGGCUGGCUUGGCCACUGCCAUGCUCCUCCCAGGAUUCAGGUCCCAUAGCUAAGCCCGGGUGCCCAGGUGUGAUCCUCUCAUCACACAGAGAGCAUGUCUGCCUCCUUGAGCUGCAGUACGUCUGCUCCUGAUGCUUCUAAAUCCCUGAGCCUCUCCAGACACACAGCACCCGGAGCUCAGUGCUGCGCAGUGGAUGUAAACUCUGGGCCUUUUCUCCUCCUAUUUCCUCCAUCCUGGAUUUGUGAACUUACCGUUUGGAACCCAAGCACAGAAAUGUACAAUGAUCUCCAGUAGAUUUAAUUUCAUUUGAUUCAGCCUGAUCCUUGCUUGUCUAUCUCUCUUUGGAUCCAGAAGGUGCUAUUCACUGGUUUUACUUUGCUUCCCAGUUUUGCGCCAGCUGAAAAGCAAUGGAUAUGCUUUUUGUAAGAUGAACCUGUCUUACCCGGGUCCCUCCUCCGUAGAUUGGGAAAUGGUCAGGAUUAGAGACUGGGCCUGGGAAGUGUCUCACACAGUACGGGGCCACAGAGGAGCUGGCCAUCUCCUGCAUCCCUACCAUCCCUCUGGGUUGUGGAUGACAACACUGGAAGUGACCACCCCUCUCAACCCCCAGUGAUCACACAAAGUGACCCACCAGGACAUUCAAGCCUGUCGAUGGAUAUUUUAAAUGGAGACAGCCUACUUGGUAAUUGGGAUAAUUUUAAACUAAAUUUCCCCAUCUGGAUAUCCUGCACAUAUCUUUCUAAUGAAUUCUGAAAUAACUUCACUUUUCCGUAGGGUGGGCAGAGCUCUCUGUUGAACAGGCUGGCUUCCUGGAUAACUGUGUCCCUGUUGAACCUGACUUUGUCUUUGUAAACCCUUUGCCCUGUCAAAAUGCACAUAACAGUUGCCCAAAGUUGGGACCUCAGAGACUGAUAAAAAAUAGAUAAAACCUAAAAAAAAAAAACUCAACAGAAAGGUUCUGUGUACGUAUAAAAGCAAAUUUGAGCUCUGAUUCUUUCCUCUGUGGUUUUUCUCUGGUUUAGAUCACCAACUUCCCUGCCAUUUCCUGAUGCCCAUUUUGAGGCCAAGAAGCUCGGAGGCAUUUCCUGGAACAGAAAAGUUCAGAGUUUCAAGUGUCCACCUUUGAGCUUAGCUAGUCCCCCUGGUCUCUCUUGAAGGGACAUAAAAGUGCAAGCUUUUGCAAAAUCUCCCCUCCGAGGUCCACCUGGCCCCCUUUCAGAGAGACCUGGGAAUGACAGUGGGAAGCAGCCCAUGAGUUAUGUAUGAUGGGCUGUCUGUGUCCUGCCUGAGCGAGCUCAGCUCUCGCUGGUUCACGCAGCCCAGGAUCCUGAGGGCUCAGGAGGGAGGAUGGGAACCCUUUGGGGAAGCAUCCCUGACUCGUGAUUCUGCGAAGAGCUGCUGAUUGGAGAUGAGGCUCAGGGCUGUCGCAGGGAGGCUCGCUCUGGUAGAUGGGGCUGGGAAAUGGAGCCAGCCGGAGGUGGCAGGCUCGGAGCUUGGCACCCAGAUCUGCUGCUUCCCCUCUGCCCUCAGCGAAGCCCUUUACCAUCUUCCUCCAACUUAUUUUUCAGGCUGUAAUUGUACCAAACUGCAUGAAGGGGGGAAAAAUCCUGGCCCCCAUAGAGGGGCCAGGGAAGCGCCAUUCAGCCCUUCAACUCUGAAUGUGAAGCAGGUGAACAGGGAGCCACACCCACAGACACAGACCCACACUGCCCUGCUGGGUUUCACUGCCAACCAUGGGUCACAAUGGCAAAGUCAGAACAUCUUCAAGGUCAAAAUGACAGAGCCAGCAAAGCAGGGUCCGAAGGACAAGGUCAAAUCCUUUGCAUCUUCAGAGAUGAUACUGGUUUAGGUAGAAAUUAUUUAGGGCCUUUGGUGGCAGCACAGUGAGGAGAAUGUUGUAGAUUUCUCAAGGUCAUCUGACAGGUACCUCUCACAUGCCAGAUAUGCCUUGCUUUGGCUCCAGGCCAACAAGUGUGUGAGUCCUGCUCCAUCCCAGGUGUAGAUCUUGGGCAGGUGAGCUGACCUUGGUGGGCCACAGGUGGAGGGGACUUUGGUGAUGGGUUGUGCAUGCGUACUAGAUAGUGGCACAGUGCCUGCCCCAUGGGGAACAUUCACAAAAGGAUGUGCCAGCAACUGAGCAGAUGUUCUGUAUACAUUGUUUCCCAGGGUGGGGUCCUGGGCAAACUAGGAGUGGGUUAUUGCUCUCCCCUUCUAUUGUUUAUACUCCCACCUUCAAGCUGCUCCCCCCUCAGCCUGGCCUCUCGCUUUCCCUCCCCCGACUCAGCAGGAUUUUGCUCACCUGGAAUUCCACCAUCUCCCACGUUCCCUGCCCUCCGUGGAGGCAUGUUAGCCCCUCACCUCUCAUGUGUGCCUUGGAGCUUGAACACGCCCUCUCCUCUCUCCAGGUCCUUUACCUGCUUGGCCCACAGUAGGUGCUCAACACGUGUUUAUCCAGUGGAGAUGACUGAACAUGUGCUCAGAUUCCUUGUCAGUUUUUCAAUUCUAACUCACACAGGGGAGCUGGCGAAAUGCCCCAGAAAGCACGUCUGUGAUGGGGGCAGGGUGGACGGCCCCUCCUUGCAACACAACGGCUCCUACGUCCACUUCUCACUAAUCCGAUUGGCCCAUCCCUCAGCUACCAGGAUGCUCAUCUGGUUCAUUGCUUCGCCUCUAUCUUUCCAAGAUAGAACUGGGUGGAAAACGAUAAAUGUUCCUGAAUGAGCUUUGGGAUGCAGGGAGGGAUGGGAUUAAGUCCCCGGGAGUAAGCAAGGUGUCUACUGCAGAUCUUCCAGCUGCUGUCAAGAGGGCUGGCUCCAGCUUUGUGCCACAGGUGCCUCCCCAGGGCUUCAAAGCACAGGGACACUGGUUUGUAAUCCUCAGAUAACAAUGCAAGGCCCGCCCCAUUUCCACAUGCCCCAAUCCUGCCCAUUCCUCAAGGCACAGCUCCCACGCCCAUAGCACCCAGUAGGCAUUUAAUGAUGCCCCUGGUUCCAGAAGCCCUCCCUGGCUCCUGCCUUUUCUUUGGGGUCCCCUCAGUAGCUGCUCAGCUCCCCCUAGGGAGCCCCCUGGUAUAGCUUUGGGAAGUGGUACAGUGCGCCAGAGAGGCCGGGCCAUGAGUGACCAGCUUGGUGACCUGAGGAGUCCUCCAUGUGCUUCCACACUCAGUGCCUCCAUCUACACAAAGCCAUGCCACUCGGCUCUCUCUGGGUCGCAGGUGAAAAAACAUUGACCUAAACUGGUUUAAGCAAAAAGGAAACAUUGGCUCACAUGAGCAAAAUCUCCAGAGACAGAGCUGGUGUCAGGCCUGGCAGGACAGGGGUCAUUUGGUGUCCUUGGAACUGGCUUUCUAUGUCACCUUCAGCCAGGACUUCCCAUGGAAGCAGGAAGGCUGGGUCAACUGGAGCCCUAACUCCUUCCAAGCUGAGUCCCCAGUAGGCUACACUGGAGUCACCGUUUGGGUCACAUCGGAAUGGCUCAUUUGAAGGGUUAUAUGCCCACCCUGAGCCAACCCCUAUGGCAAAGUUAUGAAAUAUGUGAUUGGCUCAGACAUGGGGUGGAACAGGGGCCUAGGAAAUGCUCUGAGCCUCUGUAUAGAGGAGCUGUCUCCCUUGGUGACAUUGUGGAGCCUGCCACCAAAUCCUAAGAACCAGCAGGUACCUGAAACUCAUUCAGGUCUUGUCCUCAAUUUGAACCUAUUGGACAAUCCCAGAGCCCCAUGAGACAUGUACUGCUGGGGCUUCCCUUGAUCAAAGAGGGAGCUAAGGUGCACUUUUCAGGGCUUUUCCAAGGUCACCUUGGCUGGUGAGCAGUACAAGUUAUGAGUCCAGACAUGGCUGCCAGGUUUGCACUCUUACUUUCUUUUAUAAUCUAUUGUAAGAGGGAGACAGCCAAGAAACAAAUAUACAAGUAAACACCUAAUAUAAUGUAACAUAAUAUUUCAUGCCAGGAUAUACAAUAGAAUAUUCUGUAGCACAACAUGGUAUCGCAUCAUAUUGGGGCAGGCACUGGUAAGCAGUCCAUCUUUGUGUCCAUCCCAAGAGCAUUUAUUGUGAGUGUGGCUCAAGGAGGUGUGUGCCUGUUGGCUGGCUGGUGAAUAACUCAUUUUAUGUGCACAGUGUGAACCUUUGAUCGCAAAUCCUUGUUUCUUCCAUAGAAACAUCAUCAUUGUAUAUUAUAUAUUCAUCAUCAUUAUAUAUUAUAUAUUUCUGUGAUUGUUUCUAUCUCACAAGAAGAACAAAUGGUUAAAGUUCAAGGAAAAAGCAGGUGAGCUGGAAUUUCUAGAACUAUAGCUGUGGGUGUUUAAAGAUAUCGGACGGACCUGUGUCCCUGAGACUCUCUUCUUGGACACUCUUGGAGGAAACGAUCUGAGGAAAUCUGUUUGACAGGUAGAAAAGGAGGUAGGUGGCAAAUGCAAAUGUUAAAGAGCUUUUGAACUUAAUCUCCCCCUCCUCUCUUUUAAAAGCAUGCUCUGGAGUUUUGGGGAAUUUCCAUGACAGUCUCUAAAUUGGUGUUUGCACCACACAAGCAGGCAUUGGGCCUUUUGCAGGGUUUGGGCGAGUGUUCAAGUGCACAGGGUGAGCUGAGAGGUGGAGGUUUGGGGUUUUAUUAAUAAUGAAGCAUAGUCACCCUUCUGCCUUCUCAAGGCACGGAUACUAAGUGAGCAAAUAACCUUGAGCUCCUCUCCUCACUCUUGUCUCCCAACUUGCAGCCCAGCGAUACAUAAUUUAAUCAGAUCAUAAAGCAAUUAUAAAAAUGCCCUGAAAUGAUGUGCACACGUUCACAUCUGUAAUCAGAAUGGCUAACAUCUCCCUCCCUCCACCACCAUGGUGUAAUCCUGGUGUGAUUUCAGUUCCAUGGAGGUGACUAAGAGUCUAGUCAUUAAUGCAACGCCCACAAACUUUAUUGGAAUAUACCGUCAGAAAAAAAUCUGUUUUUAAAAACUGCACGGGCUGAAUGCAGCUGCAAGUGCCAGUCCCUCUUAGCCAUUGCACCGGCCGUUUUCAUUGUUGGAAACCCUUUCAAAACUGUGCACCAACGAGAGGUUGCUGUCCCUUUCCUACAUCUCAGGGAAGGUGCGUUUGGUAUAAAGUUAUUUGAUAGAGGAAUUAGGCUUCUAGAAGCUCUCAAAUUACUGCCUAGAUUUUCACCUUGCCAACAGUAUUGGGAUGAUUUGGUUGUGGUGAUGUUGAAGACGUGGAGAAGGAGGAAGAGGAAGAAGAGGAGGAGGAGGAGGAGUCUAUAGAACAUGCAUGAUCCAGCAGUGAUUCAAAUACAGAAUUUGGGAAAAUUUUGGCAAGACAAAUGCUCUAGUUUCUUCAAUAAAUAAGUGACCUGUAAAAAGAAGGAGGAGAAGAGAGACCUACCAGAGGUUUAAAGAGAUCUUCUUUUAGGUCUAAAAGAAGUUACUGGAACCCAGAGACGUUGCAACAGUCAUGUGAAAGCUGGCUGGCAGGGGAUGUGAGGGGCGUGUAUUAGUUCUCUCUUAUCUGUGGUUUUGCUUUCCCUAGUUUGUUAUUUGUGGUCAAAUGUAGUACAAAAAUAUUAAAUGGAAACUUGCAGAAAUGAAGCAUUCAUAAGUUUUAAGUUGCACACCAUUCUGAGUAGCAUUAGGAAAUCUUGAGCUAACCUUCUUCAGCCUACCCAGAAUGUGAGUCACUCUCUGUUUAGUGUAAUCAUGCUGUAUAGGCUACCUGCCCAUUAGUCACCUAAUAGCCAUCUUGGUUAGCAGAUCAAGUGUCUCAAUAUUGAGUACUUGUGUAUAGGGUUCAGGACUGGUUGCAGGUGUCCACUGGGGGAUUUGGAACAGAUACCCCUCAGAUAAAAGGUGGUAACAGCACUGUGUUUUUCAUCUGUCCCCCAAAGUACCUGUCAUUCCAGCAUGGUGACUGAGGUACCAUGCUGACUGAGGUACCCAAGCAGGUACUUCUUUUAUUUCUUAUUUUUUUUUUCUGGGGGUGUACCAGGGAUUGAACUCAGGGGCACUUGACCACUGAGACACAUCCCCAGCCCUAUUUUGUAUUUUAUUCAGAGAUAGGGUCUCACUGAGUUGCUUAGUGCCUCAUUUUGUUGAGGCUGGCUUUGAUCUUGUGAUCCUCCUGCCUCAGCUCCUGAGCCACUGGGAUUACAGGCGUGUGCGGCUGCACCUGGCUGGCGCUUCCUUGCUUGGGCUUCACUUUCAGCCUGGCUGACCCAGAAUUCCUCUGGGUAAAGCCCCUUCCUCCAGAGGCUUCUUUGACUGGUUCUCCCUCACCAAAUGAUGAUCCCCACCUGGCUGGCAGGGACCCUGGCAUGGCAUUUGUGAUUGGACAUUGUAAUUAUGUACAUAUUUCAAUGUUUACAAAUGGGAGGUAGCUGUAGAUUCACACUCACCAUAAAGAAUAACGCGCAGAUCCUGUGCACCUUGAGCCAACCUCUCCCAGAGCUGACACCUUACAUGACAGGAGUGAAAGAGCAGAGUUGGGAAGCCACGUGGUUACAAUCACUACCUUAUAUGAGUUUCACCAGGUUUACCUGCACUUGUUGUUAGUGUGUGUGUAUGUAUGUGCAUAUGUGUGUGUGUGUAUGCAUGUGUGUGUGAGCACCUUGCCCUCCAGGGAAUCUCAUCAUGUGUGUAGGUUUCUGGGACCACAGCCACCAAGUCAAGGUGCAGAGCAUUUCCAGCACAAGGGUUCCUUGUGAUGCCCUUCGAGGUUGUCUUUUAGCCUGCCUGCUUCUCCUGGGACUCUGAGUGUCUUCAAGCAGGGCCUUAGGUUCAGUCCUGGUGUCCUGGUCCGGUUAACGUUAGCCAGCGUCUGGCUCCCAAGUGAUUCUGUAUAAAUGCUUACGGAGUAGAUCCAGAUUCUGCCGCAGAAGGAGAGUAGGAAAUGAGAAUUCUUUUAGAUAAAUGUUGGUGGAAAGAGCAAGAAAAAAUAACCCCAGGCAUGGAGUACAAAGGAGGCGCAGUAUUGGGGCAUCUUUUCCCUCUGCAAAGGAUCGCCUAGAUCCUGGCAGCAACAAUGGGUUCGUACAAUCUUAACAAAGCACUUGCUCCUGUGGUCCAAAUGGAAACCUGCUUCCAGAGAGGUACAGAGUGCUUUGUGAGGUCAGAUAUGAACACCAAACUUUGAUUCUGUGGUCUCAGUUUGAUCCCUUCUGUAUCACUUUUCCAGGAACAUGGGGGCUCUGCAGCUAAUCCACUGGGACAUCUUGACCCAUGACCAGCUUUUCCUCCGCGACGCUUCACCUCAACAGGAGCCAGCCUCCCUGGGGCUCGUGGUGAUUCCAGCCAUGGGCCACAUCAGGCCUCGUAGGGACAGUGACUCGAGCAUUGAGUGUAUAGUAAGAGUCUUGGGUUUCUCAUCUCUAGACCACCUCAGGAUAGAUCUGGAAGGAGGGAUGCCUUCCCUCAUUGGCUCCUGGCCCCACUCUAAUGGCAGAGGUUUCAGAGAACAUCUUAGACCAGUGUGCUCCUCAGGUGCACAGUCAUGAACCUCAUCGAUGCAUGAUGCCUCCCCGAGACCUUGGGAUCCCUCGGAUUUGGUGAAUUAAGGAACAGCGAACUGUGUCAGAUGAUGUGGAAUUCCCCACCAGCCCACAUCUUGGAAGGGCAGUGACCGGCUGCCCAGAACUGACAUCACAGGGUCAGAUCUUCAUUGGUGGAAUCUCAUCACAUAUCAGGCUUUGUGGUGGGUAGUCUGUGGGGUAAGAGAAAAAAAGAGUCCUGUUUCCCAUCCACAUAUGAUUUCCUCUGUCCCUCCAUCCAUCAUCUCCCAUCCCUCCAUCUGUCUGUGCACUCAUCCAUCUAACAUCCUUCUGUCCCUCUGUCCACCUGCUCCUUCAUCUGUUCAUUCAUCCAUUUUUAUGUUCAUUCCCAUUUGGGUUUUUAGUAGCUCCAGGGGACGUGUGAAAAGACAUUGAGCAAGAGUAGCUUUUGGACUUCCUUGCAUUAUCGUCCAGACACUAAUGUGUUUUUGCUUCUUAGACACAACAAGAACGCCAGUCCUUUAGAAUACAUAUAGAACUGCUCAUUGGAGACAAGAGAAAAGUCACUUGUCCUGUGUUAACUAAGAAAUAAACUGGGAAAUAUGAAUAGAAAGUUGAGCUGUUGUGAACAGGAUGCUCUUUCUGCUUUCAUAGCACUUAAUAGAAUUUGUUUUCUAGUGUCCAGAAGCAAAAAUUUCAUGGGAUGGGUAUGUAUAUGUGUGUUUAUUUGUAUGUAUAGACAUAUACGUAUAUACACACACAUAUACAGAGAGAGGCAUAUGUGUAUGUGGGUCUAUAUAUUAUUAUAUAUCUAUCUUCACUGGCAUCUGUUGAGAUCUCGGGGGCAUCUACUCAUAUC